This 89-nucleotide microRNA precursor is filed under the name Otolemur garnettii (small-eared galago). Its description in RNAcentral is "miRNA (ENSOGAG00000034703.1)". The record is from RNAcentral. Lineage: Eukaryota; Metazoa; Chordata; Mammalia; Primates; Galagidae.
AGAAGAGUUCGCCAAGACCUGGUCCCAGCAGACUGAGGAUAGUACCUCAGUGGUCACUUUACAGUUUGCUGAGGUUGGAGCUGCUAAGA